AUGUCCAGUCAAGGGCAAAAAACGUUCAAGAUCCUGUGCCGCACCAAUGAGGACUACUGCAUCACCGUCCGCUGGGAUGACGACGGGGGCAUCGCGGUCGUCAUGGCGCCAACAAACCCCCGCGACCAGCAGCAGCACUGGUACAAGGACACGAGGUUCAGCUCUACGGAGGACGAGGACGGGUUCCCGGCGUUCGCACUCGUCUGGGCAGUAACUCUGGUGCCGUACAAGUACGACCCAGAGGCGGUGGACGAAUCGGUGCUGUGGACGGAGAGCGACGAUGUGGGCGACGGCUUCCGCUGCAUCCGCAUGAUCAACAACAUCCACCUCAACUUCGACGCGUUGGAUGGCGUGACGGAACUCCAGGACGGCACCCCCAUCGUGCUGUGGGAGUGGCUCGAGGGGGCGAACCAGUCCUGGAUGAUCCUGGCGUGGGGCACCGACGGUGGCCUCCAUCCUGCGCUGUCCUCUGAGUGCACCAUGCGCAUCUUCUGCAGUUCAGGCGAGGAGUACAGCAUCGCCGCAAGGGACGGCGCGGUGUGCCUCGCGCCUGCGGACCCCAACGACGACCUGCAGCACUGGGUGAAGGACAUGAGGCACGGUGAAGACAUCAAGGAUGAGUAUGAGCAGCCUGCGUUUGCCCUGGUGAACAAGGCCACCGGUGAAGCCAUCCAGCAUUCCCUGGAAAAGGGCCACCCUGUUCGCCUUGCGGCAUACGACCCGGACUGCCCGGACGAGUCGGUGAUGUGGAGGGAGAGCGAGGACGUCGGCGACGACUUCCACUGCAUCCGCAUGGCGAGCAACAUCCAGCUCAACUUCGACGCCGUCCAUGGCGGCGA
RNAcentral lists this ribosomal RNA (839 nucleotides) under Triticum aestivum (bread wheat). RNAcentral's name for it is "partial small subunit ribosomal RNA". Lineage: Eukaryota; Viridiplantae; Streptophyta; Magnoliopsida; Poales; Poaceae. The record is from RNAcentral.